RNAcentral lists this long non-coding RNA (585 nucleotides) under Dromaius novaehollandiae (emu). RNAcentral's name for it is "lncRNA (ENSDNVG00000008595.1)". The record is from RNAcentral. Lineage: Eukaryota; Metazoa; Chordata; Aves; Casuariiformes; Dromaiidae.
UCCAGACAUUAUCCUGAGGUCUUCACCACACCACCUGACCUUCUCUUUGCAGUAAAAUCCAGCUAUUAUAAAACAUCUUAACCUCUAAGAGGUUAAGCAGGCAAGCUUACAGUAAAUCCAGAAACAUUCGGGAAGAACAUAUCCAUCACCUGCACGACACUGCUAAUCUCCCAGUACAUAAUUGACAGCUUAAGUGGAGAGAACAGCAUGACGCUCACUGCAGAACAGCAACAACAACAGCAAAUAUUUAAAGGACUUGCUGGGAAAUGGUUGCAUUUAAUAUGCCUGAGAUCUUGUUCUUUUCUGAGAGGAAAGCAGACCCAUGAUCUUGGUCUCUUACAGAGCGACAACUUAGAGGAUUAAAGGAAUCUGCUGAGGACUUUGCUUCUGCUAAAAAUGUCGUCAUAGAAAUGGGCUCCACAGUAAGUACUGUAGUGGCACAAAAGUAUGGUACAGGCAGAGGGUUGCAACAUAAUACAUUUAAAAUUGAUUUUGGAAGGCAUUUUUUGUUAAAAAUAGAGGUGUUCUAGAACCUAAUAUAAGUGUCAUCCAAAAGAGAGAAUAAAGCAGAUCAAUGUCCGCUCA